Tachyglossus aculeatus (Australian echidna) is the source of this 133-nucleotide small nucleolar RNA. Lineage: Eukaryota; Metazoa; Chordata; Mammalia; Monotremata; Tachyglossidae. The record is from RefSeq and is a predicted model, not a curated record.
CACCUCUCAGGGUCACACCUGGAGAGUUUCCAGUACUCUACCAGUCUAUGGGAGGGAGAGUCAGGCAGAGGCAUAUCCAUUCCAUUCCUAGCUUGGCCAGUGGCUAGCGAGUGGAAGGCCAUCUGCCACAAAA